RNAcentral lists this unclassified non-coding RNA (456 nucleotides) under Hevea brasiliensis (rubber tree). The record is from RNAcentral. Lineage: Eukaryota; Viridiplantae; Streptophyta; Magnoliopsida; Malpighiales; Euphorbiaceae.
AAUAAUUAUGAAAAAAAAAAAAAAUACUUAUCAAAGCUAUCAUGCUUACCUCUAACCAUCAACAAACCAUAUACCCACCUUCAAGGUACAAGGAAUUCAAUCCUUACCGUUAUCACCACUUAGUCUUAGGUCAAUUAUUAUCAUUUUAAACCCAAACCAAUUAAUUACAAAGAGAAUUCAUACCUAAAUACACUCCAGAACAAUCUAUAAACUAAAGUGUCUCUAAUAAUGAUGAUGGAAAUUGACAAAUGAUGAAUGAAUUCACAAUCCUAUGGGCAAACCAACUAUUCCAAUCUCCAUUAAUGUAGCAAUACACAAGUAAAAGAUCAAAAGGUCUUUUAAGGGUUGUAAUGGGGCUAUGGGAUAAUGAUUUGGCCAACAAAAAAAUGAUAUAAGGAAAACAAAGCAUGAGAACAAUCACAUAGUUAAAAGAUCAAGAUAAACAUAUAAUAUUAU